This 607-nucleotide ribosomal RNA is filed under the name uncultured bacterium. RNAcentral describes it as "bacterial SSU rRNA". It matches the Rfam family "Bacterial small subunit ribosomal RNA", at positions 331 to 929 of the family's 1533-position model. The record is from RNAcentral.
CCAGACUCGUACGGGAGGCAGCAGUAGGGAAUCUUCGGCAAUGGACGGAAGUCUGACCGAGCAACGCCGCGUGAGUGAAGAAGGUCUUCGGAUCGUAAAGCUCUGUUGUAAGAGAAGAACGAGUGUGAGAGUGGAAAGUUCACACUGUGACGGUAUCUUACCAGAAAGGGACGGCUAACUACGUGCCAGCAGCCGCGGUAAUACGUAGGUCCCGAGCGUUGUCCGGAUUUAUUGGGCGUAAAGCGAGCGCAGGCGGUUAGAUAAGUCCGAAGUUAAAGGCUGUGGCUUAACCAUAGUACGCUUUGGAAACUGUUUAACUUGUGUGCAGAAGGGGAGAGUGGAAUUCCAUGUGUAGCGGUGAAAUGCGUAGAUAUAUGGAGGAACACCGGUGGCGAAAGCGGCUCUCUGGUCUGUAACUGACGCUGAGGCUCGAAAGCGUGGGGAGCAAAUAGGAUUAGAUACCCUGGUAGUCCACGCCGUAAACGAUGAGUGCUAGGUGUUGGGUCCUUUCCGGGACUCAGUGCCGUAGUUAACGCAUUAAGCACUCCGCCUGGGGAGUACGACCGCAAGGUUGAAAUUCAAAGGAAUUGACGGGGGCCCGCUCAAG